This is a long non-coding RNA of Scomber japonicus (chub mackerel), 1431 nucleotides long. RefSeq lists it as uncharacterized. The transcript is spliced from 3 exons. Lineage: Eukaryota; Metazoa; Chordata; Actinopteri; Scombriformes; Scombridae. The record is from RefSeq and is a predicted model, not a curated record.
GUUCCUCUUUAUUGAACUUUGAAGGGAAAGAUGUGACAGGUGUUUUAAAGAGGGUUAAAACAAAGUUGAAGUGUUUGAUUGUCUUUGUCAGAAAUUAGAUCUAGCUUUUUUCUGAAAAUAUUACACUUACAUAUCCCUUUUAUCAAUUCAUGCCCACACAAGUAAAUCACACGAAACACAAUGAAAUAACAUUAGAAAUACAGUAAUGCUCAGUUUGCUUGCUUACACUUUGUUGCUACAGCAAGAUAUACGUCCCGUUUCUGCUCAUUCCUUUUCUAUGAGCCAAUCUCUAUCAUCAGCAGGCAACAGAGUGGAGCGGAGUUUCCUCCACACUGCGGCUUGGAUUGGUCUUCUGUGGUCUGAGAGCAAUAAAAUUAGUGGUUGGAGCUAUGCAGACACACCCAGUGAUGUCUGAUUACAGAGAAACUGAGGCUGUACACUGGGAAGAACCCCCACCCCGCCUCCACCCCAGCCAUCUUGGUGUGUUGCCUCCCAAAUAAACAGUUAAGAUUCAGCCAACUGAGCCAAAAAAGUUUUGUCAAAGCACAGAGUCAUGUGAUUUGAAGUGAUUGGUGAGAGUUGAGCUCCAGUUGCCUUUCAUGUGAUGUGCAGCAUAGUACAGUGUGCACAGUGGACUUAACCUCUAAGUUCCUCUUUCUACCAUGACUUUCUUACCCUUUGUUUGCAAUAAGAUCACAUUUUUAUAUAAUAUUAUUUCCCAAUAUGUCAUUCAGAGUUCUCACCCAGGUUGAAGUAUGAUGAAUAGUUAUUGCUUCCCCUUUAAAUGUCUGUUUCUACCAGAUAUUUUUAAGAGCUCAACCAAAGGCAGAACUUCAACAGAUUGUGGUUUCUUUUGUUGGCAUUUGGUUCUGCUUUCAAACUUAAGAUUUCUAAAUGUUUUGUAACUUUUUAAUCUUCAAUUUCCCUGUUUGGCAUCUAUCACUUUUAUCAUUUAUGUUCAGGAAAAGGUUUAACUCUAAACAGACACCAGGCUUGGUUUCCCAAACCAUCACCAACCCUCCACUUCAAAAGCAUGAGAAAACUGUGUGAAUGAGAAAAUGACUGAAUGUAAAAAGAUGUUGUUUAUCCUAGAAAAGCAACUACUGUAGUCAUUUGUACAGAAUUGCUUAUUUUCUGAAACCUGAGCCUCAAAUGUUUGUACACACUGUACAACAAAGUUUGGGCCAUGUAAUCAGUGGAAAUUAACUGAAAAUACACCGAUCAACCACGAUAUUAAAACCACUGACAGGUGAAGUGAAUAACAUUGAUUAUCUUGAUAAAAUGGCACCUGUCAAUGGGUAGUAUAUUUUAGGCAGCAAGUGAAAAGUCAGUUCUUGAAGUUGAUGAUACAAGGUGUUGAAGCAGGAAAAAUAGGCAAGUGUAAGGAUCUGAGAGACUUUGACGAGGGUCAAAUUGUGAUGGCUAGAUGUG